GAGUUUGACAUGGCUCAGGAUGAACGCUGGCGGCGUGCUUAACACAUGCAAGUCGAACGAAGCGCCUUAUUUGAUUUUCUUCGGAACUGAAGAUUUGGUGACUGAGUGGCGGACGGGUGAGUAACGCGUGGGUAACCUGCCCUGUACAGGGGGAUAACAAUCAGAAAUGACUGCUAAUACCGCAUAAGACCACAGCACCGCAUGGUGCAGGGGUAAAAACUCCGGUGGUACAGGAUGGACCCGCGUCUGAUUAGCUGGUUGGUGAGGUAACGGCUCACCAAGGCGACGAUCAGUAGCCGGCUUGAGAGAGUGAACGGCCACAUUGGGACUGAGACACGGCCCAAACUCCUACGGGAGGCAGCAGUGGGGAAUAUUGCACAAUGGGGGAAACCCUGAUGCAGCAACGCCGCGUGAGUGAAGAAGUAUUUCGGUAUGUAAAGCUCUAUCAGCAGGGAAGAAAGUGACGGUACCUGACUAAGAAGCCCCGGCUAACUACGUGCCAGCAGCCGCAGU
Molecule: ribosomal RNA, 513 nt
Filed under: uncultured microorganism
Description: bacterial SSU rRNA
Rfam family: Bacterial small subunit ribosomal RNA
Source: RNAcentral